CCUACGGGAGGCAGCAGUGAGGAAUAUUGGUCAAUGGGCGGAAGCCUGAUCCAGCCAAGUAGCGUGCAGGAUGACGGCCCUAGGGGUUGUAAACUGCUUUUAUACGGGAAUAACGCGCCUUACGUGUAGGGCUUUGCAUGUACCGUAUGAAUAAGGACCGGCUAAUUCCGUGCCAGCAGCCGCGGUAAGACGGAGGGGCCGGGCGUUAACCGGAUUUAUUGGGUUUAAAGGGAGCGUAGGCGGCAUGUCAAGCGUGCUGUGAAAUGUCCGGGCUCAACCCGGGCCCUGCAGCGCAAACUGGCGUGCUUGAGGCCGCGGAAGGCAGGCGGAAUUCGUGGUGUAGCGGUGAAAUGCGUAGAGAUGACGAAGAACCCCGAUUGCGAAGGCAGCUUGCUGCAGCGGAACUGACGCUGAUGCUCGAAAGCGCGGGUAUCGAACAGGAUUAGAUACCCGAGUAGUC
Molecule: ribosomal RNA, 460 nt
Filed under: uncultured bacterium
Lineage: Bacteria
Description: partial 16S ribosomal RNA
Rfam family: Bacterial small subunit ribosomal RNA
Source: RNAcentral